This 649-nucleotide ribosomal RNA is filed under the name uncultured bacterium. RNAcentral's name for it is "bacterial SSU rRNA". It matches the Rfam family "Bacterial small subunit ribosomal RNA", at positions 56 to 703 of the family's 1533-position model. The record is from RNAcentral.
UGCAGUCGAGGGGUAACAUUGGUGCUUGCACCAGAUGACGACCGGCGCACGGGUGCGUAACGCGUAUACAAUCUACCUUUUGCUAAGGGAUAGCCCAGAGAAAUUUGGAUUAAUACCUUAUAGUAUGUAGACUUCUCAUGAAGAUUACAUUAAAGAUUACGGCAAAAGAUGAGUAUGCGUCCUAUUAGUUUGUUGGUGUGGUAACGGCACACCAAGACUACGAUAGGUAGGGGCCCUGAGAGGGGGAUCCCCCACACUGGUACUGAGACACGGACCAGACUCCUACGGGAGGCAGCAGUGAGGAAUAUUGGACAAUGGAGGCAACUCUGAUCCAGCCAUGCCGCGUGCAGGAAGACUGCCCUAUGGGUUGUAAACUGCUUUUAUACAGGAAGAAACACUCCCUCGUGAGGGAGCUUGACGGUACUGUAAGAAUAAGGAUCGGCUAACUCCGUGCCAGCAGCCGCGGUAAUACGGAGGAUCCAAGCGUUAUCCGGAAUCAUUGGGUUUAAAGGGUCCGUAGGUGGAUAAUUAAGUCAGAGGUGAAAGUUUGCAGCUCAACUGUAAAAUUGCCUUUGAUACUGGUUAUCUUGAGUUAUUGUGAAGUAGUUAGAAUAUGUAGUGUAGCGGUGAAAUGCAUAGAUAUUACAUA